AGAGUUUGAUCCUGGCUCAGGACGAACGCUGGCGGCGUGCUUAACACAUGCAAGUCGAACGAUGAAGCCCAGCUUGCUGGGUGGAUUAGUGGCGAACGGGUGAGUAACACGUGAGUAACCUGCCCCCGACUCUGGGAUAAGCCCGGGAAACUGGGUCUAAUACCGGAUAUUACCUUUGACCGCAUGGUUGUUGGUGGAAAGAUUUAUCGGUGGGGGAUGGACUCGCGGCCUAUCAGCUUGUUGGUGAGGUAAUGGCUCACCAAGGCGACGACGGGUAGCCGGCCUGAGAGGGUGACCGGCCACACUGGGACUGAGACACGGCCCAGACUCCUACGGGAGGCAGCAGUGGGGAAUAUUGCACAAUGGGCGAAAGCCUGAUGCAGCGACGCCGCGUGAGGGAUGACGGCCUUCGGGUUGUAAACCUCUUUCAGUAGGGAAGAAGCGAAAGUGACGGUACCUGCAGAAGAAGCGCCGGCUAACUACGUGCCAGCAGCCGCGGUAAUACGUAGGGCGCAAGCGUUAUCCGGAUUUAUUGGGCGUAAAGAGCUCGUAGGCGGUUUGUCGCGUCUGCCGUGAAAGUCCGAGGCUCAACCUCGGAUCUGCGGUGGGUACGGGCAGACUAGAGUGAUGUAGGGGAGACUGGAAUUCCUGGUGUAGCGGUGAAAUGCGCAGAUAUCAGGAGGAACACCGAUGGCGAAGGCAGGUCUCUGGGCAUUUACUGACGCUGAGGAGCGAAAGCAUGGGGAGCGAACAGGAUUAGAUACCCUGGUAGUCCAUGCCGUAAACGUUGGGCACUAGGUGUGGGGGACAUUCCACGUUUUCCGCGCCGUAGCUAACGCAUUAAGUGCCCCGCCUGGGGAGUACGGCCGCAAGGCUAAAACUCAAAGGAAUUGACGGGGGCCCGCACAAGCGGCGGAGCAUGCGGAUUAAUUCGAUGCAACGCGAAGAACCUUACCAAGGCUUGACAUGUGCCAGACCGCCUCAGAGAUGGGGUUUCCCUUCGGGGCUGGUUCACAGGUGGUGCAUGGUUGUCGUCAGCUCGUGUCGUGAGAUGUUGGGUUAAGUCCCGCAACGAGCGCAACCCUCGUUCCAUGUUGCCAGCACGUAAAGGUGGGGACUCAUGGGAGACUGCCGGGGUCAACUCGGAGGAAGGUGGGGAUGACGUCAAAUCAUCAUGCCCCUUAUGUCUUGGGCUUCACGCAUGCUACAAUGGCCGGUACAAUGGGUUGCGAUACUGUGAGGUGGAGCUAAUCCCUAAAAGCCGGUCUCAGUUCGGAUUGGGGUCUGCAACUCGACCCCAUGAAGUCGGAGUCGCUAGUAAUCGCAGAUCAGCAACGCUGCGGUGAAUACGUUCCCGGGCCUUGUACACACCGCCCGUCAAGUCACGAAAGUUGGUAACACCCGAAGCCGAUGGCCUAACCACCUUGUGUGGGGGGAGUCGUUGAAGGUGGGACUGGCGAUUGGGACUAAGUCGUAACAAGGUAACCGUA
This 1490-nucleotide ribosomal RNA is filed under the name Arthrobacter sp. JLX12. RNAcentral describes it as "bacterial SSU rRNA". It matches the Rfam family "Bacterial small subunit ribosomal RNA". The record is from RNAcentral. Lineage: Bacteria; Bacillati; Actinomycetota; Actinomycetes; Micrococcales; Micrococcaceae.